Molecule: ribosomal RNA, 404 nt
Filed under: uncultured bacterium
Lineage: Bacteria
Description: bacterial SSU rRNA
Rfam family: Bacterial small subunit ribosomal RNA
Source: RNAcentral
UGGGGAAUAUUGCACAAUGGAGGAAACUCUGAUGCAGCGACGCCGCGUGAGUGAAGAAGGUCUUCGGAUCGUAAAACUCUGUCCUUGGUGACGAAAAAAAUGACGGUAGCCAAGGAGGAAGCCCCGGCUAACUACGUGCCAGCAGCCGCGGUCAUACGUAGGGGGCGAGCGUUGUCCGGAUUUACUGGGCGUAAAGGGCGAGUAGGCGGUAAUAUGUGUCAGAUGUAAAAGGCUAUGGCUUAACCAUAGUUGGCAUUUGAAACUGUAUUACUUGAGUGCAGGAGAGGUAAGUGGAAUUCCUAGUGUAGCGGUGAAAUGCGUAGAUAUUAGGAGGAACACCAGUGGCGAAGGCGACUUACUGGACUGUAACUGACGCUGAGUCACGAAAGCGUGGGUAGCAAACA